Long non-coding RNA from Peromyscus californicus insignis, 1015 nucleotides. RefSeq lists it as uncharacterized. The transcript has 2 exons. NCBI's taxonomy places the organism in Eukaryota, Metazoa, Chordata, Mammalia, Rodentia, Cricetidae. The record is from RefSeq and is a predicted model, not a curated record.
GGGCCGAGUGCAACGUUGCCAAGACAACUAGAGAGUUAGGCAGGUACUGGCAGGAGGCGUCACUAUGAACUGAGGGAUGGCCGCUGAGGCUACUGCUAAAGGGUCUGAAUUCCGUUCUCGGGUGAUGUCUAGCAGCUCACAAGCGUUGGUAACCCCAGCUCCUGCUGAGUGAACACCCUCAUCUGACCUCCACAGGCACCCAUACUCACGAAGCACCUAAAUGUUUAAAAUUUAAAACAAAACAAAAAUGUUCAAUAUGGCACCAUCUUCCAUGGGGCACAGCUAAAAGGAUAAACAGAAAAGUCAAGUGUGGCAGCCUGACCUAAAAUUCCAGCACUUGGGAGACUGAGACAGGAAGAUUGUGAAUUACAAGCCAGUUUAGGCAACAUAGCCAGAUUCUGUCUUUAAAAAAGAUUGGGGGUGGGAGGGAAAGAUAGCUCAGCAGUUAAGAGCACUGGCUGGUCUUGCAGAAGAUUCAAUUCCCAGCAUCCGAGGCUCCCAGCUGUCCCUAACUCCAGUUCCGUUGAACCUAGCGCCCCCUUCUGGCCUCAGCCGGCACUGCAUGCAUGUGGCACACAGACAUCCAUGUAGGCAAAACACCAGGAACAUAUGGUGAAAUUUAAAAGAAACAAGAGCCUGGCAGUGGCGGCACACGCCUUUAAUCCCAACACUCAGGAGGCAGAGGCAGGCGGAUCUCUGAGUUCGAGGCCAGCCUGAUCUACAGAGCGAGUUCCAGGACAGUCAGGACUACACAGAGAAACCCUGUCUCAAAAAACCAAAAAAAAAAAAAAAAGAAAGAAAGAAAAGAAAAGAAACAAGAGCCUGAUUUCCUUGGACGAUUGUUUCUUGGGCAGGAGGCUCAACUUUGCAAGCGCUUCAGUGCCCACCUCAGCUGUUUGUCUUGGAACCCCCCUCCACACCCCAGCCUUCAGGGACUAGCCUGGGGGCCCUAUUUCUGUGAAGUUCAGUUUUAUGAGGUAGAACAUUCCUUUUAAUAAAUGAGAUCUAGAAUGUC